AUUGAACGCUGGCGGAAUGCUUUACACAUGCAAGUCGAACGGUAGAGGGGGCAACCCCUCGAGAGUGGCGAACGGGUGAGUAAUAUAUCGGAACGUGCCCAGUCGUGGGGGAUAACGUAGCGAAAGUUACGCUAAUACCGCAUACGAUCUAAGGAUGAAAGCGGGGGAUCGCAAGACCUCGCGCGAUUGGAGCGGCCGAUAUCAGAUUAGCUAGUUGGUGAGGUAAAGGCUCACCAAGGCGACGAUCAGUAGCUGGUCUGAGAGGACGACCAGCCACACUGGAACUGAGACACGGUCCAGACUCCUACGGGAGGCAGCAGUGGGGAAUUUUGGACAAUGGGGGCAACCCUGAUCCAGCAAUGCCGCGUGAGUGAAGAAGGCCUUCGGGUUGUAAAGCUCUUUUGUCAGGGAAGAAAAGGGUACGGCUAAUAUCCGUGCCUCAUGACGGUACCUGAAGAAUAAGCACCGGCUAACUACGUGCCAGCCGCCGCCGUAA
This 496-nucleotide ribosomal RNA is filed under the name uncultured bacterium. RNAcentral describes it as "partial 16S ribosomal RNA". It matches the Rfam family "Bacterial small subunit ribosomal RNA", at positions 30 to 523 of the family's 1533-position model. The record is from RNAcentral.